AGACGAACCGGACGAACGUUAUUCGGAAUCACUGGGCUUAAAGAGUGCGUAGGCGGCUUUGUAGGUUGGGUGUGAAAUCCCACAGCUCAACUGUGGAACUGCGCUCAAAACCACAAGGCUUGAGGAAGGUAGAGGUAAGCGGAACUGAUGGUGGAGCGGUGAAAUGCGUUGAUAUCAUCAGGAACACCGGUGGCGAAGGCGGCUUACUGGGCCUUUUCUGACGCUGCGGCACGAAAGCUAGGGUAGCGAACGGGAUUAGAAACCCCAGUAGUCC
Molecule: ribosomal RNA, 274 nt
Filed under: uncultured bacterium
Lineage: Bacteria
Description: partial 16S ribosomal RNA
Rfam family: Bacterial small subunit ribosomal RNA
Source: RNAcentral